RNAcentral lists this transfer RNA (70 nucleotides) under Candidatus Altarchaeales archaeon HGW-Altarchaeales-2. RNAcentral's name for it is "Candidatus Altiarchaeales archaeon HGW-Altiarchaeales-2 tRNA-Trp". It matches the Rfam family "tRNA". From Rfam's summary of the family: Transfer RNA (tRNA) molecules are approximately 80 nucleotides in length. Their secondary structure includes four short double-helical elements and three loops (D, anti-codon, and T loops). Lineage: Archaea; Nanobdellati; Candidatus Altarchaeota; Candidatus Altarchaeia; Candidatus Altarchaeales. The record is from RNAcentral.
GGGCUGUGGGGUAACCUGGCAUCCUGAUGGGCUCCAGACCCGCAGAUGGGGGUUCAAAUCCCUCCGGCCC